Molecule: ribosomal RNA, 550 nt
Filed under: uncultured alveolate
Lineage: Eukaryota
Description: SSU rRNA
Rfam family: Eukaryotic small subunit ribosomal RNA
Source: RNAcentral
UAUAUUAAAGUUGUUGCGGUUAAAAAGCUCGUAGUUGGAUUUCUGUUGAGGACGACCGGUCCGCACUAUGUGCGUGUAUCUGGUUCGGCCUUGGCAUCCUCUUGAGGAACGUUCCUGCGCUUGAUUGCGUGGGGCGGUAUUCAAGACUUUUACUUUGAGGAAAUUAGAGUGUUCACGGCAGGCAAGCGCCUUGAAUAUGUUAGCAUGGAAUAAUAAUAUAGGAUCUUGGUUCUAUUUGUUGGUUUCUAGGGCUAAGGUAAUGAUUAAUAGGGAUAAUUGGGGGCAUUUGUAUUAACGCGUCAGAGGUGGAAUUCUUGGAUUGCGUUACGACAAACUACUGCGAAAGCAUUUGCCAAGGAUGUUUUCAUUGAUCAAGAACGAAAGUAUGGGGAUCGAAGAUGAUUAGAUACCGCCGUAGUCUAUACCAUAAACUAUGCCGACUAGGGAUUGGAGGUCGUUCUUUUUAUGACUCCUUCAGCACCUUAUGAGAAAUCAAAGUCUUUGGGUUCCGGGGGGAGUAUAGUCGCAAGGCUGAAACUUAAAGGAAUUG